RNAcentral lists this ribosomal RNA (497 nucleotides) under uncultured bacterium. RNAcentral describes it as "partial 16S ribosomal RNA". It matches the Rfam family "Bacterial small subunit ribosomal RNA", at positions 28 to 507 of the family's 1533-position model. The record is from RNAcentral.
GAUGAACGCUGGCGGCGUGCCUAAUACAUGCAAGUCGAGCGAACGGACGAGAAGCUUGCUUCUCUGAUGUUAGCGGCGGACGGGUGAGUAACACGUGGAUAACCUACCUAUAAGACUGGGAUAACUUCGGGAAACCGUAGCUAAUACCGGAUAAUAUUUUGAACCGCAUGGUUCAAAAGUGAAAGACGGUCUUGCUGUCACUUAUAGAUGGAUCCGCGCUGCAUUAGCUAGUUGGUAAGGUAACGGCUUACCAAGGCAACGAUGCAUAGCCGACCUGAGAGGGUGAUCGGCCACACUGGAACUGAGACACCGUCCAGACUCCUACGGGAGGCAGCAGUAGGGAAUCUUCCGCAAUGGGCGAAAGCCUGACGGAGCAACGCCGCGUGAGUGAUGAAGGUCUUCGGAUCGUAAAACUCUGUUAUUAGGGAAGAACAUAUGUGUAAGUAACUGUGCACAUCUUGACGGUACCUAAUCAGAAAGCCACGGCUAACUACGUG